AAUAUUGCGGGAUCCACGAGCCAGCUCACCCACACCCUCAAGAAUGCCAUGCUAUGCCCUUGAAUUUGGUUCAAGGGCAAUAGAAGAGAUGAGAUCAGCUGCAGCAAGGGGGACUGCGUAGAGUAGCUACGCUGAACAUGCCGGCAGUGGAAAAAUAGACAUCGGCAGUGUUAGUGAGUUUUGUGUGUGUGACCGUUUAGGAAAAAGAAAGACCGGCCAACGUAGAGGACCCUUUUACCCGAAUCGAAAUAAAAAGGCAUAAAUUGUAUCGGCUGGCUUCUCGUAGAUGGGCCAAAAUUACCAUUCCCCGGCCCGCGGAAUCCUGGUCACACCCCUGCUCGGGCGCGACCCGCCACAGCGCCACUGACAAUUAAUAUAAUUAAUCUAUGCCUACAUAAACGCAUACCUAUUUACAUGCGUAUAUAAA
Long non-coding RNA from Drosophila guanche, 427 nucleotides. RefSeq lists it as uncharacterized. The record is from RefSeq and is a predicted model, not a curated record. The transcript has 2 exons. NCBI's taxonomy places the organism in Eukaryota, Metazoa, Arthropoda, Insecta, Diptera, Drosophilidae.